GGGCAGUUACCAGAGUGGCCAAAUGGGGCAGACUGUAAAUCUGCUGGCGUACGCCUACGGUGGUUCGAAUCCAUCACUGCCCA
This 83-nucleotide transfer RNA is filed under the name Tannerella sp. RNAcentral's name for it is "tRNA-Tyr". It matches the Rfam family "tRNA". Rfam says of the family: Transfer RNA (tRNA) molecules are approximately 80 nucleotides in length. Their secondary structure includes four short double-helical elements and three loops (D, anti-codon, and T loops). Lineage: Bacteria; Pseudomonadati; Bacteroidota; Bacteroidia; Bacteroidales; Tannerellaceae. The record is from RNAcentral.